CUCAAGAAUGCCUCUACAAUGGACUCUGGGUUUGAUCUAAUCAAAUCUAGUUUUAUUGGGUUCACUAGAUUGUGUUGGUUCAUCAACCUAUCAAACUUUAUCAAGUUCAAUUUUAAAGACAUCAGUUCCUUCACUAAGAAACUUCUUUUUUAAAAAGAAUACCUUAUUACUGACGAACAACCUUUGCUCUUCAGCAAGGUAGAAGCAAUACCCCUUAGUUUUGUUGAAAUAUCCUACAAAAUAAUACUUAUUGGAUCGAGGUCCAAGCUUAUCGAUCUGCAAACACUUGACAUAAGCUGGACAUCCCCAAACUUUAAGAGAGUAUCGGUAUGUCCUGUCCAU
RNAcentral lists this long non-coding RNA (342 nucleotides) under Elaeis guineensis (African oil palm). RNAcentral describes it as "long non-coding RNA (EGUI_LNC026170)". Lineage: Eukaryota; Viridiplantae; Streptophyta; Magnoliopsida; Arecales; Arecaceae. The record is from RNAcentral.